Molecule: unclassified non-coding RNA, 691 nt
Filed under: Hevea brasiliensis (rubber tree)
Lineage: Eukaryota; Viridiplantae; Streptophyta; Magnoliopsida; Malpighiales; Euphorbiaceae
Source: RNAcentral
CCAAUCAACGGAAUCCGGCAAAGACUCGCCGAGACGUGGAGUGUAACGAUCACUGGUUUUACGCAACCUGUUCCUUUUAAUACCACUCCGGCCACCCAGGUACAUGGAUCGGUAGUCCUCGUUGGUAAGAUCAGCGAACCGGUUCAACCCGACCCUGUAGGUCCGAUUCUCAGAGUUAUGCUCAUCAAUGAACCUUAAAUUGUCUUUAAAAACCUGAAACCUCCUCUCCCUUUCUCCCAAAGCGUUGUAGGCCUUGCCGUGCUUCACCAGCCAGUCUUCGUAUAUAGCCAUGACCUCGUCAUCGGUUCUCCAGCUGGAUUUGGUAGCAUGUGUUUGAUCAUAAGAUAUGAUCGACAUGUCAGAGGCUGAGGACAAGGUGAAAGCGAAAAACAAGAGAACGAACAUGGCUGCUGAUGAUCUGAACAGACCCAUCUUUUUUCUGCUCUGGUUGUUUCGGAAGGGUGGAUUUGCUAUGACUGGGUAUGUGAAAAUAGUGGAGUGGUAGUGGGUUUAUAAAGGCAAAUGAGAGGAAUGUGUUUAUCGAGUAUUAAUACAAUAUAGAAGAAUUUGAUAAUUAAUUUAAGAUUUUUAAUUUUCGUAUAUAUGGGAAAUGAAAGACGGUAAAUUAAAUUCUUUAAUCGGAAGCUGGCGAAUGAGAGAGCCUGUGGAUAUGAUUUGAUUGGCUGUGAAA